Long non-coding RNA from Rana temporaria (common frog), 457 nucleotides. RefSeq lists it as uncharacterized. The record is from RefSeq and is a predicted model, not a curated record. The transcript is spliced from 2 exons. Lineage: Eukaryota; Metazoa; Chordata; Amphibia; Anura; Ranidae.
GGUAAUUCUAAGCUUGUGGUUUGAGGCCAUCCGCAUGUCCAGAACACUUCCUUACACGGCAUGCUUUUGUAAAUUACUCAACGAUGACAGAAAUUGUACUUUUACACUUAUACUUAAUUGUACAUUUAGGUGAAUGGCUGCAACUAGAACCUAGUUGUAUGUAAACAUGGGAAGGUACACAGUAUUAGCAGUCUUGGGAUACAUAGGAGUAGAUGUCUCUAGCAGUGAACGGGUAGAAAUGGCACUGUGCAUGCCAAGUGACCUCAUAUUACCUCAGUGACUGAGGCCAGUGUUGUUUUUCUGAUUGUAGCUCUGUACACAGUGUUUGUACAAAAGGGCAGGUCUGGGAUGGAGAUAGUACUGGAGUCCUGGUGUGAAGACAUCCAGCAGUUACAUGUUCAGAAACAAAUGUCACCAUUGGCUUCUUCAGGUGCUAAAUACUAUAGACAAAGUAUAG